AUUCCAACCAAAUGUUAACUUGUUAGGUUAGUAUAAUUUCAUUUCAUGCCUCAUUGCUGGUGCACGUGUUUCAAAUGAAACAGAGUGGCCCCAGCAAAACCACAUCAAUGAUCAAUAGAUCGUUGUUGAGAUACUUGGACUAUACAUUGCUUCAUAAAGACAGCAUUGUUCAAGAACAUGAUAAAGUGAACAGGACCUGUUUACAGAAAAUUAUACCAUAAUGACAGCAUGACCCGAGUACAUGAAAAAGUGAACAGGACAUCUAAACAGAACUUUAUUCCACGAUGACAGCAUCACCCAAGUAGAUGAAAAACGUAAUCCAGUCAUCUAGGAAGAUUAUUUUUUCACAAUUGCAGCAUCACCCAAGUAGAUGAAAAACGUAAUCCAGUCAUCUAGGAAGAUUAUUUUUUCACAAUUGCAGCAUCACCCAAGUAGAUGAAAAACGUAAUCCAGUCAUCUAGGAAGAUUAUUUUUUCACAAUUGCAGCAUGACCUGAGUAGAUGAAGAAGUAAACAGGACAUCUGAACAAACAUUAUUCCAGGAAGACAGCAUCACCCAAGUAGAUGAAAAACGUAAUCUGGUCGUCUAAGAAGGUUAUUUUUUCACAAUUGCAGCAUGACCUGAGUAGAUGAAGAAGUAAACAGGGCAGACAGCAUGACCUAAGUGGAUGAAAAAGUUUGCAGUACAUCUGAAAAGGAUUCAGGUAAUUAUUUCAAUUAAAGGUAUUACAGACAUCAAUAACUUUCAAUUUGAUGUUUAAUGCACCACACUGAGCCUAUUUUGAUGACUCAAUUAUACCAAAUCCAUCAUCUGAUUUAAAUAUCUAUAAUUUCAGGAGAUUAAUAUUUAUUUUUAUCAUUGCAAUUAUUAUUUUUUCAGUCAUGAUGCUGACAUAAUUGAAAGCUCAUGCUAUCUUUUGGCUACUAAUUGAAAUUCUAUUAUUUUACAUUAAUUUUUACUAAUGAUGAAAUAUUGAUGUAAUCUUAUAUAUUUCAUUAUAAA
Harmonia axyridis is the source of this 1002-nucleotide long non-coding RNA. RefSeq lists it as uncharacterized. The record is from RefSeq and is a predicted model, not a curated record. NCBI's taxonomy places the organism in Eukaryota, Metazoa, Arthropoda, Insecta, Coleoptera, Coccinellidae. The transcript is spliced from 11 exons.